GGACUACCGGGGUAUCUAAUCCUGCUUGCUACCCAGGCCUUCGUCCCUCAACGUCAGUUAUUACAUAGAAGGUUGCUUUCGCCAUUACCAGUCCUUAAGGUAUUAAAAAAUUUCAUCUCUACACCUUAAAUACUCACUUUCUCACAUAAAACUCUAGUAUAUCUGUACAUUUUUUAUGCUAGAAAUACCGUCUAGGUACCCUUUAAACCUAUUAAAGAUGAAUAACACUAGUCUUCCACGUCUUACCGCGGCUGCUGGCAC
This 261-nucleotide ribosomal RNA is filed under the name uncultured bacterium. RNAcentral describes it as "partial 16S ribosomal RNA". The record is from RNAcentral.